GAUGAAGAACGUAGCGAAAUGCGAUAAGUAAUGUGAAUUGCAGAAUUCAGUGAAUCAUCGAAUCUUUGAACGCACAUUGCGCCCGCCAGUAUUCUGGCGGGGAUGCCUGUUCGAGCGUCAUUACAACCCUCAGGCCCCCGGGCCUGGCGUUGGGGAUCGGCGGAGCCCCCCGUGGGCACACGCCGUCCCCCAAAUACAGUGGCGGUCCCGCCGCAGCUUCCAUCGCGUAGUAGCUAACACCUCGCGACUGGAGAGCGGCGCGGCCACGCCGUAAAACACCCAACUCUUCUGAAGUUGACCUCGAAUCAGGUAGGAAUACCCGCUGAACUUAAGCAUAUCAAUAAGCGGAGGA
Molecule: unclassified non-coding RNA, 352 nt
Filed under: soil metagenome
Description: partial contains 5.8S ribosomal RNA, internal transcribed spacer 2, and large subunit ribosomal RNA
Rfam family: 5.8S ribosomal RNA (bases 1-120)
Source: RNAcentral